This 222-nucleotide ribosomal RNA is filed under the name Bryconops giacopinii. Its description in RNAcentral is "partial small subunit ribosomal RNA". Lineage: Eukaryota; Metazoa; Chordata; Actinopteri; Characiformes; Iguanodectidae. The record is from RNAcentral.
UUUGUUGGUAAAUCUCGUGCCAGCCACCGCGGUUAUACGAGAGACUCCAGUUGAUAGCUACGGCGUAAAGAGUGGUUAAGAAAAUAUAUUAAAUAAAGCCAAAGGUUCCCUAAGCCGUCUCACGCACUCCGGAAAUACGAAGCCCAAAUACGAAAGUAGCUUUACCUCCUGCUAUUCUGACCCCACGAAAGCUAAGAAACAAACUAGGAUUAGAUACCCCAC